AGAGGUUUAGGUUAAACCAGACCAAGGACCUUCAAAGCCCUAAGUAAAUCACACAGAUUUAACCUCUG
RNAcentral lists this transfer RNA (68 nucleotides) under Crossarchus platycephalus (flat-headed kusimanse). RNAcentral's name for it is "tRNA-Trp". Lineage: Eukaryota; Metazoa; Chordata; Mammalia; Carnivora; Herpestidae. The record is from RNAcentral.